This 454-nucleotide ribosomal RNA is filed under the name Klebsiella oxytoca. Its description in RNAcentral is "bacterial SSU rRNA". It matches the Rfam family "Bacterial small subunit ribosomal RNA", at positions 1 to 453 of the family's 1533-position model. The record is from RNAcentral. Lineage: Bacteria; Pseudomonadati; Pseudomonadota; Gammaproteobacteria; Enterobacterales; Enterobacteriaceae.
AAAUUGAAGAGUUUGAUCAUGGCUCAGAUUGAACGCUGGCGGCAGGCCUAACACAUGCAAGUCGAACGGUAGCACAGAGAGCUUGCUCUCGGGUGACGAGUGGCGGACGGGUGAGUAAUGUCUGGGAAACUGCCUGAUGGAGGGGGAUAACUACUGGAAACGGUAGCUAAUACCGCAUAACGUCGCAAGACCAAAGAGGGGGACCUUCGGGCCUCUUGCCAUCAGAUGUGCCCAGAUGGGAUUAGCUAGUAGGUGGGGUAACGGCUCACCUAGGCGACGAUCCCUAGCUGGUCUGAGAGGAUGACCAACCACACUGGAGCUGAGACACGGUCCAGACACGAACGGGAGGCAGCAGUGGAGAAUAUUGCACAAUGGGCGCAAGCCUGAUGCAGCCAUGCCGCGUGUAUGAAGAAGGCCUUCGGGUUGUAAAGUACUUUCAGCGGGGAGGAAGGUG